CUCUUCCUCCCGAGCCUUUGCGGCGGAGCUUCGGUCGCGUUGAGCCGCGCCUCCUCUUCCUCCUCCACGCUGCCCUCGACAGGCCGCGCCACUUCCUGGGGUGCGAAGGGACUCGGGUGCGAGCCUGGGCCUGCAGCGCGGCGGCGGAGAGAACGGAGAGGACAGCUGGCGGGUGGUUAUCUGGAGUGGUUUGGGGCCGCGGCGGCGUUCUGGCCAGUGGGCCUUGGUGGGCUAGGAAGAGAGGCAGAAAAAGGUUACCCAGGAAACGGGCUUCGACGCCGGGCGAGGAGUGGCACGUUCGAAACCCCCUCCCUAACUCAGCCCGGCUGGACCCCGCUGCUUAACGGGGGGUCCUGCGGCAAAGAAAGUGGACGGGUUGCCACUUCUGUGCCUCCCCAUCAGGUAGCCUGGGCUAUAAGGGGCUCUCAGACCAGCUUGGUUCCAGAUGUGUGUGUGGCGGGAGUCCUGUAUACUUUGAAGAGGAGAGCAGCAAGAAGCCUCUAACUCCCAGGCCAGCGUGCAGGAGAUCAGCCGGCGUUACAGUCUACACUGGGCUACCCACUGUCCCAUGAAGUAGCAGUUCUCCCCAUGUCGUAGAGUGGGGCCCCGGCAGAUUAAGAAACUUUCCUAAGAGCCCACAGCUGGCAAGAGGCAGAAUUCUGGCUCCGAAACCCAUGUUUUCUACAGGUUUACCCUUUGUUGAUUUGCAAGGGUUGGGAAACUAGUUUCCAUGGCCAAACCUAGCCCACCGUCUGUUUUGGUGUCCAUGGAUUGGCGGGGACAGCUCUGCUUAAGGAUGUAGUAGCUCUGCAGGUUGGCUAGUUUCCUGUUCUUCCCAACCUGCGCUAUGGACUUCAUCAGAUUUCAGCAUCAGAGAGAAUAUGGAAGGACAUCGACCCUAACUUCAUCCAGUGAGGAUUUCCACACACCAUACACUCUCUGAGAGUUCUCUUGGCUUUGUGUGCACACCUCCAGUGACAGGGAGCUCGCUAUGUCAUGAGGCAGCCUGCUCCCUUGUGGCUAUCACUGAACCAACUAUUAAGCCUUCUUAUACAAACAGUCCCUGACUUACUGUUAGACUUACAACUUUUUGAUUUUACAGUGGUGCAAAAGCAAUAUGCAUUCCAUAGAAACUGUAUUUCAAAUUUUGAAUUUUGAUCUUUUCCAGGCUAGCAACAUAUGAAGACCAACCUUCUAUUUUUAAAAUAGGCUUUGUGUUAGAUGCUUUUGCCCAACUAUAGGUUAAUGUAAAUGUUCUGAGAAUAUUUGAGGAAGGCUAGGCUAAACUGUGAUCUUUGGGAGCUUAGAUAUGUUAAGUGCAUUUUCAACUUACAAUAUUUUCAACUUACGAUGAGUUUAUUGGGAUGAAGCCCGUUGUAAGUAAAGGAGCAUCUGCAUUAAGCUAAAAUCCAUGUCUAUAACUUCCUCAGUAAUAUCAAGUUUGUUCCUUGGAGCCAGAGAAUAAACUGAAUCCUUUUCCACGUGAUGGUCUUUCUGUUGUUUAAAGAGAUCAGCCAUGUACCUUCUCCCAACCUGAAGACAACUCCUCACCAGGCUACCUAUCAAUUCUACCUCUUUUUUUAAGAGAUGGGGUCUCACUAUGUUGCCCAGCCUGGUCUUGAACUCUGGGCUCAAGUGAUCCUCCCACCUCAGCCUUCCGAGUAGCCAGGAUUACAGGCACACACCACCAUGCCCAGCUCCAUUUCCAUUGUUCUUCAUGCUUCCUUAUUGAGUUCCUUCCCUGUCCCGAUUAUUCGUCUUUGAUUGGGCUUUGACUACCUGGGCAUUUAGUAGGGUCCAUAACUGAAUGCAGCAUUCCAGCCGGGGUCUAAGCAACAGAAUAGAGCAGGACCAUCAUCUCCGCAAUUUCCAAUAUCAUACUUUCAUCAAUGUCUUCCGAAACAACAUUCACUUUUUUAUGUUCAUGUUAAACUAAAAGACAGGGCUGAAGGCAGCAUCCUGGAACAGUGGAAACAUUCCUAUAAGUUGACUUGAAUCCUUUAAAUAAAGUC
Molecule: long non-coding RNA, 2012 nt
Filed under: Homo sapiens (human)
Lineage: Eukaryota; Metazoa; Chordata; Mammalia; Primates; Hominidae
Description: non-protein coding lnc-SPINK4-4:6
Source: RNAcentral